Molecule: transfer-messenger RNA, 366 nt
Filed under: Balneolaceae
Lineage: Bacteria; Pseudomonadati; Balneolota; Balneolia; Balneolales
Also listed under: 2 other names
Description: RHLJ01 sp003712055 Standard tmRNA
Rfam family: transfer-messenger RNA
About the family: Bacterial tmRNA, also known as 10Sa RNA or SsrA, is named for its dual tRNA and mRNA-like properties. Its role is to liberate the mRNA from a stalled ribosome.
Source: RNAcentral
GGGGGUGUUCUGGAUUCGACGGGAUGAGUAACACCGUAGGUUGCAUGUCGAGAAAUUCCAAUGAAUCUCGUAAAUCAUUCAUUAUGGAAACCAAAAUAAUUGACAACAAUUAUUCUUACCGCUUAGCAGCAUAAACUGCCUAGCCGUUCCUCUGGUUAAGUGCCUAUCAUUGCCAGACUGAACGUCAUACCAGAUAGGAUAGCGUAAUAGGGUUUCCUGUCUUCAUUGCGCGAAAAUUCACAGGAUAGUCUGUUGUCGCUUGGUUACUAGGCUCGGCUUCAGGCGAAUUUAAAGUAGUAACUAAACAUGUAGACGCUUGCAGGUUUACCUUUUCGGACCGGGGUUCGACUCCCCGCACCUCCACCA